This 71-nucleotide transfer RNA is filed under the name Ictidomys tridecemlineatus (thirteen-lined ground squirrel). RNAcentral describes it as "Spermophilus tridecemlineatus (thirteen-lined ground squirrel) tRNA". It matches the Rfam family "tRNA". Rfam says of the family: Transfer RNA (tRNA) molecules are approximately 80 nucleotides in length. The record is from Rfam by way of RNAcentral. Lineage: Eukaryota; Metazoa; Chordata; Mammalia; Rodentia; Sciuridae.
GGGAAUAUAGCUCAGUUGGUAGAGUGCUUGCCUUGUAUGCACUAGGCCCUGGGUUCAAUCCCUAGCACCCA